UACGUAGGAGACAAGCGUUAUCCGGAGUUACUGGGCGUAAAGGGCGCGUAGGUGGUUUUGUAAGUCUGGCGUGAAAUUUUUCGGCUUAACCGGGAAAGGUCGUCGGAUACUGCAAGGCUAGAGGACGGUAGAGGCGUGUGGAAUUCCGGGUGUAGUGGUGAAAUGCGUAGAGAUCCGGAGGAACACCAGUGGCGAAGGCGACACGCUGGGCCGUACCUGACACUGAUGCGCGACAGCAUGGGGAGCAAACAGG
RNAcentral lists this ribosomal RNA (253 nucleotides) under uncultured bacterium. RNAcentral's name for it is "partial 16S ribosomal RNA". It matches the Rfam family "Bacterial small subunit ribosomal RNA", at positions 524 to 776 of the family's 1533-position model. The record is from RNAcentral.